RNAcentral lists this ribosomal RNA (253 nucleotides) under uncultured bacterium. RNAcentral describes it as "partial 16S ribosomal RNA". It matches the Rfam family "Bacterial small subunit ribosomal RNA", at positions 524 to 776 of the family's 1533-position model. The record is from RNAcentral.
UACGGAGGGUGCAAGCGUUAUCCGGAAUCACUGGGUUUAAAGGGUGCGUAGGCGGGCAGGUAAGUCAGUGGUGAAAUCCCCAAGCUUAACUUGGGAACUGCCGUUGAUACUAGCUGUCUUGAAUACUAUGGAGGUAAGCGGAAUAUGUCAUGUAGCGGUGAAAUGCGUAGAUAUGACAUAGAACACCAAUUGCGAAGGCAGCUUGCUACACAGUUAUUGACGCUGAGGCACGAAAGCGUGGGGAGCAAACAGG